UAAUGUAUGGGGAUCUGCCCGAUAGAGGGGGAUAACUACUGGAAACGGUGGCUAAUACCGCAUAAUGUCUACGGACCAAAGCAGGGGCGUCCUUCGGACCUUGCACUAUCGGAUGAACCCAUAUGGGAUUAGCUAGUAGGUGGGGUAAAGGCUCACCUAGGCGACGAUCUCUAGCUGGUCUGAGAGGAUGAUCAGCCACACUGGGACUGAGACACGGCCCAG
This 222-nucleotide ribosomal RNA is filed under the name uncultured bacterium. RNAcentral's name for it is "partial 16S ribosomal RNA". It matches the Rfam family "Bacterial small subunit ribosomal RNA", at positions 111 to 334 of the family's 1533-position model. The record is from RNAcentral.